RNAcentral lists this ribosomal RNA (508 nucleotides) under uncultured bacterium. Its description in RNAcentral is "bacterial SSU rRNA". It matches the Rfam family "Bacterial small subunit ribosomal RNA", at positions 28 to 527 of the family's 1533-position model. The record is from RNAcentral.
GACGAACGCUGGCGGCGUGGAUUAGGCAUGCAAGUCGAACGGUAUCAUCCUUUCGGGGGUGAGAGAGUGGCGAACUGGUGAGUAACACGUAGGUUAUCUACCCUCAAGACGGGGACAACCCAGGGAAACUUGGGCUAAUACCGGAUGUGAGCAACUUUUAGUUGUUUGAAAGGUGGCGUAAGCUGUCGCUUGGGGAUGAGCCUGCGUCCUAUUAGUUAGUUGGUGAGGUAACGGCUCACCUAGGCAAUGAUAGGUAGGCGGCCUUAACGGGUGGUCGCCCACACUGGGAUUGAGAUACGGCCCAGACUCCUACGGGAGGCAGCAGUCGAGAAUAGUCUACAAUGGUCGGAAGACUGAUAGUGCGACGCCGCGUGAACGAUGAAUCCCUUCGGGGUGUAAAGUUCUUUUAUAUGUGAGCAGUGCUUCUUAUAUUAACAGUAUGGGGAGAGAGAUAUUAGCAUAUGAAUAAGCAACGGCUAACUCCGUGCCAGCAGCCGCGGUAAACUCG